RNAcentral lists this transfer RNA (77 nucleotides) under Betaproteobacteria bacterium. RNAcentral describes it as "tRNA-Arg". It matches the Rfam family "tRNA". Rfam says of the family: Transfer RNA (tRNA) molecules are approximately 80 nucleotides in length. RNAcentral also lists the same sequence under 1 other name. The record is from RNAcentral. Lineage: Bacteria; Pseudomonadati; Pseudomonadota; Betaproteobacteria.
CUGUCCUUAGCUCAGCUGGAUAGAGCACAGGCCUUCUAAGCCUGCGGUCAGAGGUUCGAAUCCUCUAGGACAGGCCA